This 500-nucleotide ribosomal RNA is filed under the name uncultured bacterium. RNAcentral describes it as "partial 16S ribosomal RNA". It matches the Rfam family "Bacterial small subunit ribosomal RNA", at positions 30 to 523 of the family's 1533-position model. The record is from RNAcentral.
AUUGAACGCUGGCGGCAGGCCUAACACAUGCAAGUCGAGCGGAUGAAGAGAGCUUGCUCUCUGAUUCAGCGGCGGACGGGCGAGUAAUGCCUAGGAAUCUGCCUGGUAGUGGGGGACAACGUUUCGAAAGGAACGCUAAUACCGCAUACGUCCUACGGGAGAAAGUGGGGGAUCUUCGGACCUCACGCUAUCAGUUGAGCCUAGGUACGAUUAGCUAGUUGGUGAGGUAAAGGCUCACCAAGGCGACGAUCGUUAACUGGUCUGAGAGGAUGAGCAGGCCCACUGGAACUGGGAAACGGUCCAGACUCCUACGGGAGGCAGCAGUGGGGAAUAUUGGACAAUGGGCGAAAGCCUGAUCCAGCCAUGCCGCGUGUGUGAAGAAGGUCUUCGGAUUGUAAAGCACUUUAAGUUGGGAGGAAGGGCAGUAAGUUAAUACCUUGCUGUUUUGACGUUACCGACAGAAUAAGCACCGGCUAACUUCGUGCCAGCAGCCGCCGUAA